This is a long non-coding RNA of Dermacentor andersoni, 445 nucleotides long. RefSeq lists it as uncharacterized. NCBI's taxonomy places the organism in Eukaryota, Metazoa, Arthropoda, Arachnida, Ixodida, Ixodidae. The record is from RefSeq and is a predicted model, not a curated record.
GCGAGGGAGACCGGCCGCGCAUCUGAGCGUUGGACUGUUCGGGCACCCGUCUGCCUAUUUUUCUAUAUUGGGAUUUAGCCUGGUUUGGUGGCCUCCCGGCGAAUUAUUGCGUUCAUUCGGAACUUCGACAUGGCAGCACUGCACUAUUGGACUACGGCGAGCUCACGUCGUCUGGCGGAGCUUCCUGCGGAAACUACUGCUGCUUACCUGGUGCCACAACGUUGGAUGAAUGCACAAAAAGCCCGCGACGAGCAUUUACAAAAAACAAAAUAAACGUUAAUUUUUCCUCAUUUCACAAGGUGUCUUGCGUGAUUAUGAAAUUGCACGUGGCACAUAUUCAAUGGAGGGUUGUGAAGAUCGUUCGCAAUCAAUUUUACUUAAUAAAAUGAUUUCCAAAUUAAUAUUUAUUAAAUAAAAAUAAAUAUUUGCUGCAAAAGCAAAAAAA